UGGCCUUGACAUACUAAGAACUUUCCAGAGAUGGAUUGGUGCCUUCGGGAACUUAGAUACAGGUGCUGCAUGGCUGUCGUCAGCUCGUGUCGUGAGAUGUUGGGUUAAGUCCCCGCAACGAGCGCAACCCUUUUCCUUAUUUGCCAGCGGGUUAAGCCGGGAACUUUAAGGAUACUGCCAGUGACAAACUGGAGGAAGGCGGGGACGACGUCAAGUCAUCAUGGCCCUUACGGCCAGGGCUACACACGUGCUACAAUGGUCGGUACAAAGGGUUGCUACCUCGCGAGAGGAUGCUAAUCUCAAAAAGCCGAUCGUAGUCCGGAUCGCAGUCUGCAACUCGACUGCGUGAAGUCGGAAUCGCUAGUAAUCGCGGAUCAGAAUGCCGCGGUGAAUACGUUCCCGGGCCUUGUACACACCGCCCGUCACACCAUGGGAGUUUGUUGCACCAGAAGUAGGUAGUCUAACCGCAAGGAGGACGCUUACCACGGUGUGGCCGAUGACUGGGGUGAAGUCGUAACAAGGUAGGCGUAGAUGA
RNAcentral lists this ribosomal RNA (535 nucleotides) under uncultured bacterium. RNAcentral describes it as "bacterial SSU rRNA". It matches the Rfam family "Bacterial small subunit ribosomal RNA", at positions 976 to 1509 of the family's 1533-position model. The record is from RNAcentral.